UAGGCGAAUAAUUUGGGAGUAUAAAAUAAAUUUAAUCAGAGUAGCCUUUGAAUUGAUUCGAGACCUAAAUAAGCAUCAGCUCGACACACAUUUUUCGUUAGUUCAUUUUCAGACUCGCUCGAGUCAACACCCAAAUUUUCCAAAUUUUUUGUGUUUUUUUAUUUUUUUGUUAAACUAAUUCUGACGAAAUGCACAAACGUCUCUGGCUUAUUAUUCCCUUGGAUGUCUGACGAUGGUACCACGGAUUGACGCUCUUCGUUGAGGUCAUCGUAGGUCCAAGGCUUUCAUUAUGGACUCGGAAUUAUUUUGCUUUCUGCACACUCUUACGGAUAUCGCAGUUACCGUUGAACACUAAUCUCUCGAUACUUUCAACACUUAAUACCCAGCUGCAUAUUCUCUUAUGAUUAUGAACAUUUCAAGAACACAAGAAUAUAAUAAUGGCAAGUUGAUAAGAAAAAAACAAUUAAAAUUAGACCUCAGUCGGUGGGACAUCCUUCAAAUGGCCAACGUUGCAACGUUAUACUCUAACAACUAGUAGGAUAUGUUUCCAUCCAUUAUGGAUCUUGCAUCUGGUCCGGUCCAUCACUUAACUUAUUUCCUAUUAUUUUUCAAAUGACGUUGAAAUAAUAAUACGUUGUAAGUAAAUAAAUGCAAAACUACGAUAACAUA
This is a long non-coding RNA of Drosophila albomicans, 669 nucleotides long. RefSeq lists it as uncharacterized. Lineage: Eukaryota; Metazoa; Arthropoda; Insecta; Diptera; Drosophilidae. The transcript is spliced from 2 exons. The record is from RefSeq and is a predicted model, not a curated record.